This 460-nucleotide ribosomal RNA is filed under the name uncultured bacterium. RNAcentral describes it as "partial 16S ribosomal RNA". It matches the Rfam family "Bacterial small subunit ribosomal RNA", at positions 338 to 795 of the family's 1533-position model. The record is from RNAcentral.
CCUACGGGUGGCAGCAGUGAGGAAUAUUGGUCAAUGGGCUUACGCCUGAACCAGCCAAGUCGCGUGAGGGAAGACUGCCCUAUGGGUUGUAAACCUCUUUUGUCAGGGAGCAAAUGGCGCUACGUGUAGCGUUAGCGAGAGUACCCGAAGAAAAAGCAUCGGCUAACUUCGUGCCAGCAGCAGCGGUAAUACGGGGGAUGCGAGCGUUAUCCGGAUUGAUUGGGGUGAAAGGGUGAGUAGGAGGAAUGCCAAGUCAACGGUAAAACCGCGGGGCUAAAUGUCGCUCCGCCGUUGAAACUGGCGUGCUUGAGUGGACGAGAAGUAUGCGGAAUGCGUGGUGUAGCGGUGAAAUGCGUAGAUAUCACGCGGAACUCCGGUUGCGAAGGCAGCAUACCGGCGCCCAACUGACGCUGAGGCACGAAAGCGUGGGUAUCGAACAGGAUUAGAUACCCUUGUAGUC